Molecule: ribosomal RNA, 253 nt
Filed under: uncultured bacterium
Lineage: Bacteria
Description: partial 16S ribosomal RNA
Rfam family: Bacterial small subunit ribosomal RNA
Source: RNAcentral
UACGUAGGCAGCAAGCGUUGUUCGGAGUUACUGGGCGUAAAGAGUGCGUAGGCGGUGUCGAAAGUUUGGCGUGAAAUCUCCCGGCUUAACUGGGAGGGUGCGCCGAAAACUGCGGUGCUGGAGUGUGGGAAAGGCAAGCGGAAUUCCUGGUGUAGCGGUGAAAUGCGCAGAUAUCAGGAGGAACACCAAUGGCGAAGGCAGCUCGCUGGGACGGUACUGACGCUGAGGCGCGAAAGCGUGGGGAGCAAACAGG